GAGUAUAGAUUAUUAAUCUUGAAAAGCUAAGUUGCAUGGCGGUUUGAUAUCUGAUUAGAGGGACAUGUUAAUAAAAUCGAAGGACACGAAUAUCUUACUUUUUCUUGUAAUUUUCACUUUGUACACCGCCGUCUGAAGAUAAUUUUGAAAAGUUUGUAUCUUUAAUAAUAUUUAUAAUAAGUCAGGUAAAGGUGCAAGAUAUGAAUAAGUUUUAAUGUGUUAUUUUAUAAUUGUGAAUGAAAUAUAUGUAUAAAUUUAAUAGUAA
This 265-nucleotide ribosomal RNA is filed under the name Ardeicola geronticorum. RNAcentral describes it as "partial 12S ribosomal RNA". The record is from RNAcentral. Lineage: Eukaryota; Metazoa; Arthropoda; Insecta; Psocodea; Philopteridae.